CCUACGGGUGGCAGCAGUGGGGAAUAUUGGGCAAUGGGCGCAAGCCUGACCCAGCGACGCCGCGUGAGGGAAGACGGUCUUCGGAUUGUAAACCUCUUUUGUCAGGGAGCAACGCCGGCUACGUGUAGCCGGACUGAGCGUACCUGAAGAACAAGCAUCGGCUAACUCCGUGCCAGCAGCCGCGGUAAUACGGGGGAUGCGAGCGUUAUCCGGAUUUCUUGGGGUUAAAGGGUGCGUAGGCGGAAUGCCAAGUCAGCGGUAAAAUCGCGGGGCUCAACCUCGCUCAGCCGUUGAAACUGGGGUUCUUGAGUGGACGAGAAGUAUGCGGAAUGCGUGGUGUAGCGGUGAAAUGCGUAGAUAUCACGCAGAACACCGAUUGCGAAGGCGGCAUACCGGCGCCCAACUGACGCUGAGGCACGAAAGCGUGGGUAUCGAACAGGAUUAGAUACCCUAGUAGUC
Molecule: ribosomal RNA, 459 nt
Filed under: uncultured bacterium
Lineage: Bacteria
Description: partial 16S ribosomal RNA
Rfam family: Bacterial small subunit ribosomal RNA
Source: RNAcentral